This 300-nucleotide ribosomal RNA is filed under the name uncultured Smithella sp. RNAcentral describes it as "bacterial SSU rRNA". It matches the Rfam family "Bacterial small subunit ribosomal RNA", at positions 1080 to 1382 of the family's 1533-position model. Lineage: Bacteria; Pseudomonadati; Thermodesulfobacteriota; Syntrophia; Syntrophales; Smithellaceae. The record is from RNAcentral.
UUAAGUCCCGCACGAGCGCAACCCUUUAUCUUAAUUGCCAGCAUUCAGUUGGGCACUUUAAAGAGACUGCCGGUGUUAAACCGGAGGAAGGUGGGGAUGACGUCAAGUCCUCAUGGCCUUUAUGCUUAGGGCUACACACGUGCUACAAUGGGUGGUACAAAGAGAAGCCAACUCGCGAGAGCGCGCCAAUCUCAAAAAGCCAUCCUCAGUUCGGAUUGCAGGCUGCAACUCGCCUGCAUGAAGUUGGAGUUGCUAGUAAUCGCAGAUCAGAAUGCUGCGGUGAAUGCGUUCCCGGGUCUU